Molecule: long non-coding RNA, 154 nt
Organism: Amblyraja radiata (thorny skate)
Lineage: Eukaryota; Metazoa; Chordata; Chondrichthyes; Rajiformes; Rajidae
Exons: 3
Source: RefSeq, a predicted model, not a curated record
GAAAGGCCAUUACCAGAAACUGGCUUGCAGCGGACACACCCAGACUUAAACAAUGGUUAGACAUAGCACAGGAAAUAUUUCUCAUGGAGAAAAUGACAUAUUCUCUAAGAGUGAAAGAAGACGAGUUUAACAGAAAAUGGGAAAAAGUGAUGAG